Thalassophryne amazonica is the source of this 226-nucleotide long non-coding RNA. RefSeq lists it as uncharacterized. The transcript has 3 exons. The record is from RefSeq and is a predicted model, not a curated record. Lineage: Eukaryota; Metazoa; Chordata; Actinopteri; Batrachoidiformes; Batrachoididae.
GUGUAUAUAUUUUCCAACUUACUCCCAUUGAUGAAACUUCUCAUUUUCUGCCCGAAAGCUUAUUAGGAGACGAGUGUGCUCAGGGCUCCCUGUUUAUUUACAAAAUACACACGUGUUACAACCUUGUAAUCGAACAGCAGGGAUCGCUAUUAUCAAAAGAUUUAUGAACAUACAAAUUAACGUGCUUAUCCUUUAUCAUGAUUUUCUCUCUUGUGAGAAAUAAAAG